UCAUGAACUUUAUAAAAUUUUCAAGAAAAUUUGCAUAGCAUUAGGCCAUUACCAUUACAUAACAGCUGUUAACUGCGAACCCAGUAGCGACCGCGAUUUAAAACCAUGACAUGACUAGUAUCAAAUAUGAUCAUCAUUAUCAAAUAUAGUUUAUCAGUAGAUAGGAAGCAGAUGUAGUGUACUCCAGAAAAGUUGCACAAGCAGAAAGAGUUAUAAAGCCCAAGAUGUCAACAAAAAAUCUGAUUUUUCAACCUGUGUAAAGGAUGCAUAGGUUGGAUUUAUCUCACCAGUUUGUUGCAUUGUGUAAUUCAAGUUAAAUACAACCCAUCACUACAAGGGUAAAGAUUUUCCUCAAAUAUUUGUGGUCAGCUGCAUGGACCUCUUCAUAAUUCAUGUAUUUGAUAAGAUAUGAUAGAUGCAUCUAACAGCAUUUCCAGAGCCACAUACCAUAAAUAUAUGAAAUAAAAUCCAUAU
RNAcentral lists this unclassified non-coding RNA (474 nucleotides) under Hevea brasiliensis (rubber tree). Lineage: Eukaryota; Viridiplantae; Streptophyta; Magnoliopsida; Malpighiales; Euphorbiaceae. The record is from RNAcentral.